AUUUUUUUAUUUUAUGGAUACAUGUGUACGUAAUUCUAAAAUUAUCACUUUCAUUUUCUUGCAUCCAUACAAAACCCCAACACUCUAGAAUUUUUCGUAACUUUCAUCUCUUUUGCCCCUUGCUACUUUCAUCUUCUUUACUCCUAUUUAACAAUAUAAUUUUGAAGAAUUUCUGCAAGUUUGAUUUAUCUACUCAACUAAGUUGGUAAAUUUGUCCCUCGUCUCCUUUCCAUCUCUUUUCAAAAUUUUCGAUUUCCUGAUGAAAAUCUUCGUAGGUACUGUUAUUAUUCAUUUAAACUUAUUUCAAGAACUAAUUUAUCAGUUUUUCAUCUACUUCAAAUGUUCCAAUUUCAGAUCCGAAUUUCUCCCACUUUUUUCCCCAAGAACUAUUUUAUCAGUUUUUUUAAUUUAUCUUUAAAGUUCCAAUUUCAGAUCCGAUUUUCCAUCUACUUAAUAAAACAAGUGUGAUUUGCUACUUGUUAAGGUAUAUCAUGAUUUUUGGGCUCUCUGUUGUACUAAUUUUCUCUUGGGAUUUUAGGAUAGAACUUUUUUAUUGGGUUUAUUUAAUCUGAGAAUCUGAAUUUUUUUCUUUUUUUUAAUUUUAUUAUGUUUGAGCACAAUUUAAAAAAUAUAUUUUUGAAAAUAUUUUAUUAUAUAGAAAUGAGAGAUUGGUCGACCAAGGGUAUACUGGC
Molecule: long non-coding RNA, 692 nt
Filed under: Nicotiana benthamiana
Lineage: Eukaryota; Viridiplantae; Streptophyta; Magnoliopsida; Solanales; Solanaceae
Description: long non-coding RNA (NBEN_LNC038040)
Source: RNAcentral